CAGUAGCCACGGUAAUACGAAGGGGGCUAGCGUUGUUCGGAUUUACUGGGCGUAAAGGGUGCGUAGGCGGAUUGUUAAGUCAGGGGUGAAAUCCCGAGGCUCAACCUCGGAACUGCCUUUGAUACUGGCGAUCUUGAGUCCGGGAGAGGUGAGUGGAACUGCGAGUGUAGAGGUGAAAUUCGUAGAUAUUCGCAAGAACACCGGUGGCGAAGGCGGCUCACUGGCCCGGAACUGACGCUGAGGCACGAAAGCGUGGGGAGCAAACAGGAUUAGAUACCCGUGUAGUCCCUGUCUCUUAUAC
RNAcentral lists this ribosomal RNA (301 nucleotides) under uncultured bacterium. Its description in RNAcentral is "partial 16S ribosomal RNA". It matches the Rfam family "Bacterial small subunit ribosomal RNA", at positions 509 to 807 of the family's 1533-position model. The record is from RNAcentral.